Molecule: ribosomal RNA, 645 nt
Filed under: uncultured bacterium
Lineage: Bacteria
Description: bacterial SSU rRNA
Rfam family: Bacterial small subunit ribosomal RNA
Source: RNAcentral
GAAAGGCGGGCUAAACCCGCGUACAUGCCACCGGGGCAUCCCGGAGGCAGGAAAGGCUUCGGCCGGACAGGGAUGGGCAUGCGGCGCAUUAGGCAGUAGGCGGGGUAACGGCCCACCUAACCGACGAUGCGUAGGGGUUCUGAGAGGAAGGUCCCCCACACUGGUACUGAGACACGGACCAGACUCCUACGGGAGGCAGCAGUGAGGAAUAUUGGUCAAUGGUCGGGAGACUGAACCAGCCAAGCCGCGCGAGGGAGGAAGGUACAGAGUAUCGUAAACCUCUUUUGUCAGGGAACAAAGACUGGGACGCGUCCCCGGAUGAGUGUACCUGAAGAAAAAGCAUCGGCUAACUCCGUGCCAGCAGCCGCGGUAAUACGGAGGAUGCGAGCGUUAUCCGGAUUUAUUGGGUUUAAAGGGUGCGCAGGCGGUCUGUUAAGUCAGCGGUCAAAGCCCGGGGCUCAACCCCGGCCCGCCGUUGAAACUGGCAGUCUCGAGUUGGAGAGAAGUAUGCGGAAUGCGCGGUGUAGCGGUGAAAUGCAUAGAUAUCGCGCAGAACUCCGAUUGCGAAGGCAGCAUGCCGGCUCCACACUGACGCUGAGGCACGAAAGCGUGGGUAUCGAACAGGAUUAGAUACCCUGGUAGUCC